GAUGAACGCUGGCGGCGUGCCUAAUACAUGCAAGUCGAGCGAACAGACGAGGAGCUUGCUCCUCUGACGUUAGCGGCGGACGGGUGUGUAACACGUGGAUAACCUACCUAUAAGACUGGGAUAACUUCGGGAAACCGGCUCUAAUACCGUAUAAUAUAUUGAACCGCAUGGUUCAAUAGUGAAAGACGGUUUUGCUGUCUCUUAUAGAUGGAUCCGCGCCGCAUUAGCUAGUUGGUAAGGUAACGGCUUACCAAGGCAACGAUGCGUAGCCGACCUGAGAGGGUGAUCGGCCACACUGGAACUGAGACACGGUCCAGACUCCUACGGGAGGCAGCAGUAGGGAAUCUUCCGCAAUGGGCGAGAGCCUGACGGAGCAACGCCGCGUGAGUGAUGAAGGUGUUCGGAUCGUAAAACUCUGUUAUUAGGGAAGAACAAAUGUGUAAGUAACUAUGCACGUCUUGACGGUACCUAAUCAGAAAGCCACGGCUAACUACGUG
This 497-nucleotide ribosomal RNA is filed under the name uncultured bacterium. RNAcentral describes it as "partial 16S ribosomal RNA". It matches the Rfam family "Bacterial small subunit ribosomal RNA", at positions 28 to 507 of the family's 1533-position model. The record is from RNAcentral.